Long non-coding RNA from Centruroides sculpturatus (bark scorpion), 320 nucleotides. RefSeq lists it as uncharacterized. The record is from RefSeq and is a predicted model, not a curated record. The transcript has 3 exons. NCBI's taxonomy places the organism in Eukaryota, Metazoa, Arthropoda, Arachnida, Scorpiones, Buthidae.
CAAUAAUGAAAAGAUGUUAUUGUUAAACAAGAAUUUCCGAAUCUUCAAGGAGUUUAUAUUGUAUUUAUUAAUCACGAAAUGUAUAAUUAAAUUAUAAGAUGAAAAACACGCUGAAAAAAUUCAUCUUACACGAAAACUUUCGUAAGAUAAGAAUCGAUAUCCAUAACAAAAAAUGGCGCAAGUUCUUUCAAAAAAAUAAAAUAAAAUACCGACAUCACCAAAAGAACCAAUGCUUCGAACCAGAAAAGAUCUCUAAUUCCCCUUCUCUGUAUGUAAGGCGUUAAUAGUUGUAUUGUAUUUUAUAAAUAAUAAAAUUUGAC